AUUGAACGCUGUCGUCAUGCCUAACACAUGCAAGUCGAACGAGUGGCGGACUGGUGAUUAAUGUCUGGGAAACUGCCUGAUGGAGGGUGCUAACUCCUGGAAACGGUAGCUAAUACCGCAUACCAUCAGAUGUGCCCAGAUGGGAUUAGCUUGUUGUUGGGGUAACGGCGCACCAGGGCGACGAUCCCUAGCUGGUCUGAGAGGAUGACCAGCCACACUGGAACUGAGACACGGUGCAGACUCCUACGGGCGGCAGGAGUGGGGAAUAGUGGACAAUGGGCGCAAGCGUGAUGAAGCCAUGCCGGGUGUAUGAAGGAGGGGUGCGGGUUGGAAAGUACUUUCAGCGGGGAGGCGUUACAGGAAGAGGAAGCACCGGCUAACUCCGUGCAAGCAGCCGCGGUAAUUC
RNAcentral lists this ribosomal RNA (406 nucleotides) under uncultured bacterium. Its description in RNAcentral is "partial 16S ribosomal RNA". It matches the Rfam family "Bacterial small subunit ribosomal RNA", at positions 30 to 526 of the family's 1533-position model. The record is from RNAcentral.